Molecule: ribosomal RNA, 424 nt
Filed under: Fusobacteriota bacterium
Lineage: Bacteria; Fusobacteriati; Fusobacteriota
Description: Fusobacteria bacterium partial 16S ribosomal RNA
Rfam family: Bacterial small subunit ribosomal RNA
Source: RNAcentral
UGAGGAAUAUUGGUCAAUGGGCGAGAGCCUGAACCAGCCAAGUAGCGUGCAGGAUGACGGCCCUAUGGGUUGUAAACUGCUUUUAUGUGGGGAUAAAGUGCGUGACGUGUCAUGCAUUGCAGGUACCACAUGAAUAAGGACCGACUAAUUCCGUGCCAGCAGCCGCGGUAAUACGGAAGGUCCGGGCGUUAUCCGGAUUUAUUGGGUUUAAAGGGAGCGUAGGCUGUCUAUUAAGCGUGUUGUGAAAUUUACCGGCUCAACCGGUGGCUUGCAGCGCGAACUGGUCGACUUGAGUAUGCAGGAAGUAGGCGGAAUUCAUGGUGUAGCGGUGAAAUGCUUAGAUAUCAUGACGAACUCCGAUUGCGCAGGCAGCUUACUGUAGCAUAACUGACGCUGAUGCUCGAAAGUGCGGGUAUCAAACAGG